RNAcentral lists this ribosomal RNA (845 nucleotides) under uncultured Bacillota bacterium. RNAcentral's name for it is "bacterial SSU rRNA". It matches the Rfam family "Bacterial small subunit ribosomal RNA", at positions 58 to 879 of the family's 1533-position model. The record is from RNAcentral. Lineage: Bacteria; Bacillati; Bacillota.
CAAGUCGAACGCGAAAGCCUCCUUCGGGGGGCAAGUAGAGUGGCGCACGGGUGAGUAACACGUAGGUAAUCUACCUUUGGAUGGGGAAUAACAACCGGAAACGGUUGCUAAUACCGCAUAAUGCAGCGGCACCUAAUGGUGACAGUUGUUAAAGCGGGGGAUCGUAAGACCUCGCGUCUGAAGAGGAGCCUGCGGCAGAUUAGCUAGUUGGUAAGGUAACGGCUUACCAAGGCGAUGAUCUGUAGCCGGCCUGAGAGGGCGGUCGGCCACACUGACACUGACAUACGGGUCAGACUCCUACGGGAGGCAGCAGUCGGGAAUUUUGGGCAAUGGGCGAAAGCCUGACCCAGCAACGCCGCGUGAAGGAUGAAAUCCCUCGGGAUGUAAACUUCGCAAGAACGGGAAGAAUAAGUAAGAGCUAACAUCUCUUAUGAUGACGGUACUGUUUGUAAGCUCCGGCUAACUCCGUGCCAGCAGCCGCGGUAAUACGGGGGGAGCAAGCGUUGUUCGGAUUUACUGGGCGUGAAGGGCGCGUAGGCGGCCACCGCAAGUCGACUGUGAAAUCUCCGGGCUUAACUCGGAAAGGUCAGCCGAUACUGCGGGGCUAGAGUGCAGAAGGGGCAACUGGAAUUCUCGGUGUAGCGGUGAAAUGCGUAGAUAUCGAGAGGAACACCUGCGGCGAAGGCGGGUUGCUGGGCUGACACUGACGCUGAGGCGCGAAAGCUAGGGGAGCGAACGGGAUUAGAUACCCCGGUAGUCCUAGCCUUAAACGAUGAAUGCUUGGUGUCUGGGGUUUUAUAGUCCCCGGGUGCCGUCGCUAACGCUUUAAGCAUUCCGCCUGGGGA